AGAGUUUGAUCAUGGCUCAGAACGAACGCUGGCGGCAGGCUUAACACAUGCAAGUCGAACGCCCCGCAAGGGGAGUGGCAGACGGGUGAGUAACACGUGGGAACCUUCCCUAUAGUACGGAAUAGCCCAGGGAAACUUGGAGUAAUACCGUAUACGCCCGAAAGGGGAAAGAAUUUCGCUAUAGGAUGGGCCCGCGUAGGAUUAGCUAGUUGGUGAGGUAAUGGCUCACCAAGGCGACGAUCCUUAGCUGGUUUGAGAGAACGACCAGCCACACUGGGACUGAGACACGGCCCAGACUCCUACGGGAGGCAGCAGUGGGGAAUAUUGGACAAUGGGCGCAAGCCUGAUCCAGCCAUGCCGCGUGAGUGAUGAAGGCCUUAGGGUUGUAAAGCUCUUUUGCCGGGGACGAUAAUGACGGUACCCGGAGAAUAAGUCCCGGCUAACUUCGUGCCAGCAGCCGCGGUAAUACGAAGGGGACUAGCGUUGUUCGGAAUCACUGGGCGUAAAGCGCACGUAGGCGGAUUUGUAAGUCAGGGGUGAAAUCCCGGGGCUCAACCUCGGAACUGCCUUUGAUACUGCGAAUCUUGAGUCCGAUAGAGGUGGGUGGAAUUCCUAGUGUAGAGGUGAAAUUCGUAGAUAUUAGGAAGAACACCGGUGGCGAAGGCGGCCCACUGGAUCGGUACUGACGCUGAGGUGUGAAAGCGUGGGGAGCAAACAGGAUUAGAUACCCUGGUAGUCCACGCCGUAAACGAUGGAUGCUAGCCGUCGGAUAGCUUGCUAUUCGGUGGCGCAGCUAACGCAUUAAGCAUCCCGCCUGGGGAGUACGGCCGCAAGGUUAAAACUCAAAGGAAUUGACGGGGCCCGCACAAGCGGUGGAGCAUGUGGUUUAAUUCGACGCACGCGAGACCUUACCAGCUCUUGACAUGUCCGGACGGUUCCAGA
RNAcentral lists this ribosomal RNA (942 nucleotides) under uncultured bacterium. Its description in RNAcentral is "bacterial SSU rRNA". It matches the Rfam family "Bacterial small subunit ribosomal RNA", at positions 8 to 1004 of the family's 1533-position model. The record is from RNAcentral.